GACGAACGCUGGCGGCGUGCUUAACACAUGCAAGUCGAACGGAAAGGCCCUGCUUUUGUGGGGUGCUCGAGUGGCGAACGGGUGAGUAACACGUGAGUAACCUGCCCUUGACUUUGGGAUAACUUCAGGAAACUGGGGCUAAUACCGGAUAGGAGCUCCUGCUGCAUGGUGGGGGGUGGAAAGUUUCGGCGGUUGGGGAUGGAUUCGCGGCUUAUCAGCUUGUUGGUGGGGUAGUGGCUUACCAAGGCUUUGACGGGUAGCCGGCCUGAGAGGGUGACCGGCCACCUUGGGACUGCGAUACGGACCAGACUCCUACGGGAGGCAGCAGUGGGGAAUAUUGCACAAUGGGCGGAAGCCUGAUGCAGCAACGCCGCGUGCGGGAUGACGGCCUUCGGGUUGUAAACCGCUUUCGCCUGUGACGAAGCGUGAGUGACGGUAAUGGGUAAAGAAGCACCGGCUAACUACGUG
RNAcentral lists this ribosomal RNA (468 nucleotides) under uncultured bacterium. RNAcentral's name for it is "partial 16S ribosomal RNA". It matches the Rfam family "Bacterial small subunit ribosomal RNA", at positions 28 to 507 of the family's 1533-position model. The record is from RNAcentral.